RNAcentral lists this long non-coding RNA (638 nucleotides) under Vigna radiata. Its description in RNAcentral is "long non-coding RNA (VRAD_LNC001865)". The record is from RNAcentral. Lineage: Eukaryota; Viridiplantae; Streptophyta; Magnoliopsida; Fabales; Fabaceae.
UUGACUUGUCAAAGAUGCAUAAUUCCAAAUUUAUAAAGCAUUAUAUAGCAAAGACGCAUGUAAGAUACUGUGAUGAUAUAUAGAGAUUUAUAGUGAAAAGAUAGAUGGCUAGACACUUUUCAAAUGGAGGUGAAGAAGGUUUGGUGCUUCAUUCUGCACCAGUAUUUAUGUUUCUCAUGAUUUUUGCUUCUCUUUCCAUCAUUUCAAUCAUCAUAUUUGCUUGUGGAGACGACAACAAAAGUACCAAGCGUAGGCGUGGUGGUGGAGGGGGUGGCGGUGGAUGGGGAGGUGAUGGCGGAGGUGGCGGUGGAGAUGGUGGCGGCGGAUGCGGAAGUGGUGGAGGAGGUGGCGGAUGCGGAGGUGGUGGAGGAGGUGGCGGAUGCGGAGGUGGUGGUGGAUGCGGAGGUGGUGGAGGAGGUGGUACAGGAGGUGGCGGAUGCUGAGGUGGCAGAGGAGGAAGUGAUGCGGAAUAUGCGGUGGAUUUUAGAAGCUAUUAGCGAAGUGCAUAGCAGACUGCACGUUGAACGUAUUCUUGGUCACAGUCUCUUGUUAGGAAGAAAAAGAAAACUAUAUGAUUAUGAAGUGCAGGUUUGUGAUAUAUAUCCAUUAGAGACCUUAAACGUGUCUUUUUACAUUGG